CCUACGGGGAGCUGCAGUGAGGAAUAUUGGUCAAUGGACGAGAGUCUGAACCAGCCAAGUAGCGUGCAGGAUGACUGCCCUAUGGGUUGUAAACUUCUUUUAUAUGGGAAUAAAAUGUUCCACGUGUGGGAUUUUGUAUGUACCAUAUGAAUAAGGAUCGGCUAACUCCGUGCCAGCAGCCGCGGUAAUACGGAGGAUCCGAGCGUUAUCCGGAUUUAUUGGGUUUAAAGGGAGCGUAGGUGGAUUGGUAAGUCGGUUGUGAAAGUUUGCGGCUCAACCGUAAAAUUGCAGUUGAAACUGGCAGUCUUGAGUACAGUAGAGGUGGGCGGAAUUCGUGGUGUAGCGGUGAAAUGCUUAGAUAUCACGAAGAACCCCGAUUGCGAAGGCAGUUCACUGGACUGCAACUGACACUGAGGCUCGAAAGUGUGGGUAUCAAACAGGAUUAGAUACCCCUGUAGUC
This 460-nucleotide ribosomal RNA is filed under the name uncultured bacterium. Its description in RNAcentral is "partial 16S ribosomal RNA". It matches the Rfam family "Bacterial small subunit ribosomal RNA", at positions 338 to 795 of the family's 1533-position model. The record is from RNAcentral.